RNAcentral lists this ribosomal RNA (75 nucleotides) under Staphylococcus aureus. Its description in RNAcentral is "partial 16S ribosomal RNA". It matches the Rfam family "Bacterial small subunit ribosomal RNA", at positions 1459 to 1533 of the family's 1533-position model. Lineage: Bacteria; Bacillati; Bacillota; Bacilli; Caryophanales; Staphylococcaceae. The record is from RNAcentral. RNAcentral also lists the same sequence under 4 other names.
AAGGUGGGACAAAUGAUUGGGGUGAAGUCGUAACAAGGUAGCCGUAUCGGAAGGUGCGGCUGGAUCACCUCCUUU